This 4751-nucleotide long non-coding RNA is filed under the name Daucus carota (carrot). Its description in RNAcentral is "long non-coding RNA (DCAR_LNC000444)". Lineage: Eukaryota; Viridiplantae; Streptophyta; Magnoliopsida; Apiales; Apiaceae. The record is from RNAcentral.
GAGGCAAUACUAGUUUAUGCCGAUCCAUGAGUGCCAUAAACCUUUGUUGUGGAAAAAUUUCUUCUAAAGUGAUUCUUGAUUCUGAAAUGGUCUAUCAGUUUAAGCUGAUACCAUGAGAUAGCCUAAAAUAUCUUCAUGCUUAAGUGAAUCAAGUAUAGAAGAGUUAGCUCUUUCAUAUUCAUAUAUUACUUUACUGUACUGGGUCCAAAGCAAAUAUCCUAUCAAUUUUAAAGCAGACUUAUGAAAGAGAAUGAAGCACAUAAUAUUUAGAGCUUGAUUGAGCACAUGAUGAACAUGGCUACAAAUAUUAUAUAUAUAGUCUUACUCUAGGACAAACUACUAAAUGGAAACUAAAUACAGCCCCAUGCUUUCAGGAGAAUUGGGAGGUUUUGGGCCUGAAGAACGGACCCCAAGUUGGGCCUUGGCAAGGCCUAGGUGGGGUCUAGUGGGCGGGGGUGGGGUCAAGUGUUGGCUCUUGAGUUUGUCUAGAGCCCCUCCUGUCAGAGGUGGGUCCUCGGGUGGGUGAUGUCAUCUAGGGGUGGGUGAUGUCAUAGUUUCUCUUGGUUUGUAUUUGAUCACUAGCCAAAGGGUUCUUCGACUGGAACACCCGUCACCUGCGAUCAGGAAUUUUGCACUGAUGUAUUAAAGGCCUCAUAUUCUGAUUGCUCGGUUGGAAGGCUUUGUGAGUAUUCUAUCACUUACGGAGAUGGAAGCUCUACCGCAGGCUUCUUUGUCAAAGAUAGUGUACAUUUUAAUCGUGCAUCCGGAGAUUUUCAAUCUACAGUCCUGAAUGGGAGUGUGACUUUUGGGUGAGUUUUCACUCUUGCUCUCUAGUUUUGACAGGUUAAUUUAUACUAUUUAUGUUAUACUAUAAUAAGCCAACAUGGGUAUAAUUUGUACUACUAAAAUUUGGUUUGGUUUGGUCAUUCCCAAAUGACCCUUUUCUCUAUUUAAAUAAAUAAAUAAUGAUAAGUAAUUAUAUAAACAGUAUCUUACUUAGUUAUAACGUAUUCUACUUAUUAAAACAAAUCAUCACGUAACUCUUCUUAAUUCUAAUGUAUUUUACUUCAAUACAAACACAAAUCAUGUAACUAUUUUUAACUCUAAUGUUAUGUAUUUCAAGACAAACAUGAUUUCUAUACAAGGAACUAAUAUAAUUUUCCUCACAAAAGAAGAAAUAUGAAAUAUGAUAUAUAUGAUUUAAAAUUAAUCAAAAAACACGUUAUCGCAUAUUUAUAUUAGAAAAACAUUUGUAGGUAGAUAAUAAAAAUAUAUAUUGUUUAUAAUACCGAUUUACAAUAUAAAAAAAUAUUGUAAAAACUAAAUUUGUAAGAGUAAAUACAAUCAAACGGCUGGUAUGAUCUAAUCAAAUUUCAAUUCAUUAUCAUUGCCCAUUAAAAAAAUUAUGACAUCCAACAGUAUCAAACAAAUAAUAAAAUAAUCUUGAAAAUUAAAUUUUAAAUAAUAAAUUUUGAACUAUAUAGUUGCCCGUGCUUCGCAUGGGUUAAGGGAUAGUACUAAUAAUAACAUAAAUACAGUUCACAUGUCCGACAUCAGUUUGCUUGUCAUUAUAUGGGUUUUAUUCAUUUCAUGUCAGUGUUUGUGGUGUGUAUGCAUAUAUCAGUUAUUUAGGUGCAAUGGUGCCGAGUUUGAAUGAUGUAUCAAUUUAUCUCCAUGGUGUAAUUCAUUCAGUAAUGCUUAUGACAUGUUAAUAAUUAUUUGACCCGUGUAGGUGUGGAGCUAAACAGUCUGGGGAGCUAGGUUCGUCUGAUGAGUCAGUUGAUGGAAUAAUUGGAUUUGGACAAAAUAACUCGUCCCUAAUAUCACAGCUCGCUUCAGCUAAGAAGGUGAAAAAGGUGUUUUCUCAUUGCUUGGAUGGGAAAAAUGGCGGGGGUAUUUUUGCUAUUGGAGAAGUAGUACAGCCAAAAUAUGCUUCGACACCUCUGGUCCCAGAUAUGUAUGUCAUAUACACUAUAUUUUUAUUAAUCUAUUAUAAGUAUCAUAUCUUUUUAAUUUUCUUAUAAUUAUGUAGAGAUAAAACUAUAUUUCAUAUGGUGUAGGCUUUAUGGUUAAAUGUAAAUUCUGACUCCAACUUCGUCCUGAGUUGUAUAUAUAGGGUGACUUAUGUUUGUGACACUUAGGGUGAGGCCAGUGUCAUAAUAAGUGGUACAAAUGAAUUUCCUUGUGAGUGCUCUCUAAUACUUUUGCUUUUCUGUGUAGAAAGAAGGCAGCACUAGCUAGUAAUGCUCAAGUUAUGGAGUGAUCUGAACUAAUCCUAGUCCUUAAGAAUAUUAAGAAAAUUUAAUGACAUGGUUAAAAAAGGAAUUGAUAGGCAAAAUUGGUUUUGUUUUUUUGUGUGGGGGAUGUACUCCAGAAGCAGAGUAUGUUAGGCCUGCAAAAGUUGUAAAAUGGGAGUUUCUUUUCUCGCCUGUCUGAGAGUUCCUGUCUGAAUCUUUUAAUUUUCAUGAAAUUGAACUGAUGAGCUAAUCUGACAUUUGGUCAUCAACUGUUCAUCUUCUUUUUACUAUCUUUAUAGGUUUCCUAUUUCAAGAAUCUUCAUUUACCAUUUCCUGCUAGCUGUAUUUAUGUAUAUUUUAUUGAAUUUAAGUUAUGAUGGCAUUCCUCAGUAUGGCUUAGAACCUGGUUUUAAUUAUAGUUUUAUCACUAUCUUAGGCCACAUUAUAAUGUUAUUAUGAAGGCAGUUGAGGUGGGUGGUGAUGUUCUAGAACUUCCAACAGAUAUAUUUGAUGCUGGUGAUAACAGAGGCACUAUAAUUGAUAGUGGUACAACACUGGCCUAUCUUCCUGAUGAAGUUUUGAGGCCAAUGAUGAAAAAGGUUUCCAAUAUGUUUUAGUUUUUUUCUAGUUUUUCUCAAGAUAUUUGCAUGCCGUUAAUUUAUUCUGCAUAUCAAUUUUGCUGCCUUCUCAAAAUAGAUAAUGGCACGGCAACCUGAUGUGAAACUUCACACACUGGAGGAGCAGUUCACGUGCUUUCCGUACAAAGGAAAGUAAGACAUCUUACUGAAGGCUUUCUUUUACCUCAUAUGCGACCUAAGAGUUAAUGACAUAUGAAUCAGAUGUUGGAUUUUAUUUUUGUAUCAUAAUAAAAUAAUUUGUGUAUUCAUAACUUUUCAUAUGCUUUUAUUACAAGAAGCUUAGCAGGAGCAGUAUAGUUUAUGUUUCUUGGGAUGUGAGUAAAAAUUGAGGGCUGGGGAUGGGUGUUUGCUUGCUUAGUAAUCAUCUGAUGAAUAAUACCUUGUACUCUCCAAAAGUCCUUGUUCUUGCUUUUUGUUAAAUACGCGCGCGUGUGUGUGUUCUUAUAUAUAUACUACAUUGUCUGUUGAUACUGAAGGAAGGAGUGACACUUGACAUGCAAUAAAGUUUCUUUAGAGGGUAAUGUUAUUAAGUUGAGAAGUGGUGUUCCCUCAAUGAUCUUAACACUAGCAGUUUAGGUUACAUCAAAAGCAGAAAAAUAGUUUUGCUGUUAAUUGCAGUUAGCCACUGAUUUUCUUGCUAUGCUUUGUGAUAUACAAAAUGAAGAUGAAGAAAGAGAAAACAUGAGCUAAGGGUUGUUUGGGUGAUAAAUGUAUUAAGUAGAGCACCAUAUUUCUAAUAAUAUAUGUUGAGUACAUUGUAGUCUUGUUUAUUUUUCACUGUUAAUUGUUUUCUUCUCGCCUUCGAUAACAUUGCCUGUAUUUUCUUCUCCAUUAAUGAUUUUUUGCAGCGUUGAUGAUGGUUUUCCAGUUGUCACCUUUCAUUUUGAAGAUUCACUUUCUUUGUCAGUUUAUCCCCAUGAUUACCUUUUUGCUGUUGAUGUAAGUAUUUUGUCAUGAGCAUACGACAUUUGUGUACAGUGUCUUGAUACAAAAAGAUCAUUAUGUUUUUCAAUCAUUUAAUCUUUGUAUAUUUAAGCAUGUGAUAUCUGGAGUUGUUCCACGAAUUUAUAUAAAUCAGAUAUAGUAAUAACAUUGGUAUCAUGCCCCCAAGCGGGGUAAUGGGGAGAAGUGGAAUAAAGAAAAUGAUUACUUUAGUUGUGUUAGUAAUUGUGACAAGUGGAGUAAUGAAAUAGUUUAGAUGUAUGAAGACACUUUCCUAAUAAUGAUUAUGCAGAGUGACAAUCUUCUUUUGUUGUGUUCAGACAUAUUAUUGGUUGGUUAUUCGAUUGAUUUUCUAUUUCUUCUCACAUCUUAAAGAACAAAGGCUCCUAUUAUAAGAUGUUUUUUUCGAGUUACAUCAAGGUUGCUGUUCCAAGUAUGUGGUUUUGAGAACAAGCUCCUCACUUGUUUUCAAUGUCUGUGGUUCUUUGAGAUUUCUUGUCUGGUUAUUAAUAGAUAAACCAGAUCAUGAACACUUUGAGCUAGUGCCAUAAACCUUUGUUGCGAAAAUAAUUGUUCUAAGGUGAUCCUUGAUUCUGAAAUGAUCGAGGCAAUACUAGUUUAUGCCGAUCCAUGAGUGCCAUAAACCUUUGUUGUGGAAAAAUUUCUUCUAAAGUGAUUCUUGAUUCUGAAAUGGUCUAUCAGUUUAAGCUGAUACCAUGAGAUAGCCUAAAAUAUCUUCAUGCUUAAGUGAAUCAAGUAUAGAAGAGUUAGCUCUUUCAUAUUCAUAUAUUACUUUACUGUACUGGGUCCAAAGCAAAUAUCCUAUCAAUUUUAAAGCAGACUUAUGAAAGAGAAUGAAGCACAUAAUAUUUAGAGCUUGAUUGAGCACAUGAUGAACAUGGCUACAAAUAUUAUAUAUAUAGUCUUACUCUAG